GACCGCGUGGCUCAGUUGGAGGAGCAUUGGGCUGGUAUUCCAAAGGUCGUAGGUUCGAAUCCCCCCGUGGCCG
RNAcentral lists this transfer RNA (73 nucleotides) under Paramuricea clavata. It matches the Rfam family "tRNA". From Rfam's summary of the family: Transfer RNA (tRNA) molecules are approximately 80 nucleotides in length. Their secondary structure includes four short double-helical elements and three loops (D, anti-codon, and T loops). The record is from Rfam by way of RNAcentral. Lineage: Eukaryota; Metazoa; Cnidaria; Anthozoa; Malacalcyonacea; Plexauridae.